This 319-nucleotide ribosomal RNA is filed under the name uncultured Planctomycetota bacterium. RNAcentral describes it as "bacterial SSU rRNA". It matches the Rfam family "Bacterial small subunit ribosomal RNA", at positions 29 to 351 of the family's 1533-position model. Lineage: Bacteria; Pseudomonadati; Planctomycetota. The record is from RNAcentral.
AAUGAACGUUGGCGGCGUGGAUUAGGCAUGCAAGUCGAGGGAGAACCCGCAAGGGGGACACCGGCGAACGGGGUAGGAUCACGUAGGUGACGUACCCCCAGGGCGAGGAUAGCCACGGGAAACUGUGGGUAAUACUCGAUAAUCUUCCCGAUCAUGAUCGAAUGGGAAGCAAUGGGUGAGAUUCCACCUGGGGAGCGGCUUACGCAGUAUCAGCUAGUUGGUGAGGUAACGGCUCACCAAGGCUUUGACGCUUAGGGGGUGUGAGAGCAUGGCCCCCACACUGGCACUGAGACACUGGCCAGACACCUACGGGUGGCAG